Streptococcus uberis is the source of this 98-nucleotide non-coding RNA. NCBI's taxonomy places the organism in Bacteria, Bacillati, Bacillota, Bacilli, Lactobacillales, Streptococcaceae. The record is from Rfam.
UUUUCGUUGAUUUAAAUCAAACCUGUUAUGAUUUAAGUUUGCGAAGCACCACAACCACAUUGUUUGCUGAGCAUGACUCCGAGCAGUGUGGUUUUUUU